Rhinichthys klamathensis goyatoka is the source of this 312-nucleotide long non-coding RNA. RefSeq lists it as uncharacterized. The record is from RefSeq and is a predicted model, not a curated record. The transcript has 3 exons. Lineage: Eukaryota; Metazoa; Chordata; Actinopteri; Cypriniformes; Leuciscidae.
UACCUGAUGGUUCCACAGACUGAGAGCUAGCUUGGGCUGACAGCAGACUACCUGACAGUUCAACAGAUUGUGAGCUGGCUUGGGCUGGUUGUUGGAUGCCAGACUGGUCCACAAACUGUGAGCUGGCUUGGGCUGGUUCUUGGAUGCCAGACUGUUCAACAGAUUGUGAGCUGGCUUGGGCUGAUUGUAGGUCACUGGGCUGGUCCACAGACUGGUAUCUGGCUUGGCCUGAUUGCAGACCGCUGGGCUGGGACACAGACUGGUAGCGGGCUUGGGCUGACUGCAGACCGCUGGGCUGGGACACAGACUGAU